This 500-nucleotide ribosomal RNA is filed under the name uncultured bacterium. RNAcentral's name for it is "partial 16S ribosomal RNA". It matches the Rfam family "Bacterial small subunit ribosomal RNA", at positions 899 to 1397 of the family's 1533-position model. The record is from RNAcentral.
ACUCAAAUGAAUUGACGGGGGCCCGCACAAGCGGCGGAGCAUGCGGAUUAAUUCGAUGCGACGCGAAGAACCUUACCUGGGUUUGACAUGCACGGUGUGCCGGUAGAGAUGCCGGUUCCUUGAGUGGGUCGUGCACAGGUGGUGCAUGGCUGUCGUCAGCUCGUGUCGUGAGAUGUUGGGUUAAGUCCCGCAACGAGCGCAACCCUUGUCCCAUGUUGCCAGCGGUUUUGCCGGGGACUCAUGGGAGACUGCCGGGGUCAACUCGGAGGAAGGUGGGGAUGACGUCAAGUCAUCAUGCCCCUUAUGUCCAGGGCUUCACGCAUGCUACAAUGGCCGGUACAGAGGGCUGCGAUACCGUGAGGUGGAGCGAAUCCCUUGAAAAGCCGGUCUCAGUUCGGAUCGGGGUCUGCAACUCGACCCCGUGAAGUCGGAGUCGCUAGUAAUCGCAGAUCAGCAACGCUGCGGUGAAUACGUUCCCGGGCCUUGUACACACCGCCCGU